This 364-nucleotide long non-coding RNA is filed under the name Erythranthe guttata (spotted monkey flower). RNAcentral describes it as "long non-coding RNA (EGUT_LNC000475)". The record is from RNAcentral. Lineage: Eukaryota; Viridiplantae; Streptophyta; Magnoliopsida; Lamiales; Phrymaceae.
UUCCGAGUUCCUUGCAUACAUAUAUCAACAGAUGAUGGUAAAUAUAAUAUAUAUUGUCUUGAACAGAGGAAUUGAAUUUGCAAGAAACAAGAAACAAAAAAGAAAAACAGAGAGAUUAAAUGGAUGAAUAAACUACUACAAGCUACAAGCCCAAGAUCAGAUCAGAUCAGAUCAGAGGCGGCGACAAAAUAAAGAAAUUAGAAGAAACAAAAACACAAACUUGCAAGUUUUACAUUAACAUCAAAACCAUCAAAACCAUCAAAACCAAACACACACACACACACACACACACACACACAGGUACGAGAAAAGAAAAGUACUAGUACUAGGAGUACAAAAUAAAAGAUAGCAAGCAAGCUAGGAA